AGGGGACUCGGGGAGAAUGGACUGAGGGGACUUGGGGGAAAAUGGACUGAGGGGACUCGGGGGAAAAUGGACUGAGGGGACUCAGGGGAAAAUGGACUGAGGAUACUCUCGGAGGAUGAACUGAGGAUACUCGCGGAGGAUGCACUGAGGAUACUCGGGGGAGGACGGACUGAGGGGAUUCGGGGAGAAUGGACUGAGGGGACUUGGGGGAAAAUGGACUGAGGGGACUCGAGGGAAAAUGGACUGAGGGGACUCGCGGAGGAUGCACUGAGGAUACUCGCGGAGGAUGCACUGAGGAUACUCGCGGAGGAUGGACUGAGGUUACUCGCGGAGGAUGGACUGAGGAUACUCGCGGAGGAUGGACUGAGGAUACUCGGGGGAAAAUGGACUGAGGGGACUCGGGGGAAAAUGGACUGAGGAUACUCGGGGGAAAAUGGACUGAGGGGACUCGCGGAGGAUGAACUGAGGAUACUCGCGGAGGAUGGACUGAGGAUACUCGCGGAGGAUGGACUGAGGAUACUCGGGGGAAAAUGGACUGAGGGGACCCGGGGGAGGAUAGACUCAGGAUACUCAGAGAGGAUGGACUGAGGGGACUCGGGGGAGGAUGGAUUCAGGAUACUCAGAGAGGAUGGACUGAGGGGGCUCGGGGGAGGAUGGACUCAGGAUACGCAGAGAGGAUGGACUGAGGGGACUCAGGGGAGGAUGGACUGAGGAUACUUGGGAGAGGAUGGACUGAGGAUAUUCGGAGAGGAUGGACUGAGGGGACUCGGGAGAGGUUGGACUGAGGAUACUCGGAGAGGAUGGAUUGAGGGGACUCGGGGGAGGAUGGACUGAGGAUACUCGCAGAGGAUGGACUGAGGGGACUCGGGGGAGGAUGGACUGAGGAUACUCAGAGAGGAUGGACUGAGGGGACUCGGGGGAGGAUGGACUGAGGAUACUCGGAGAGGAUGGACUGAGGGGACUCGGGGGAGGAUGGACUCAGGAUACUCGGAGAGGAUGGACUGAGGGGACUUGGGGGAGGAUGGACUCAGGAUACUCAGGAUGGACUGAGGGGACUCGGGGGAGGAUGGACUCAGGAUACUCAGAGAGGAUGGACUGAGGGGACUCAGGGGAGGAUGGACUGAGGAUACUCGGAGAGGAUGGACUGAGGGGACUUGGGGGAGGAUGGACUCAGGAUACUGAGAGAGGAUGGACUGAGGGGACUCAGGGCAGGAUGGACUGAGGAUACUAGCGGAAGAUGGACUGAGAAGACUCGGGGAAGAGUGGACUGAGGAUACUCGCGGAGGACGGACUGAGAAGACUCGGGGGACGAUGCACUGAGGAUACUCGUGGAGGAUGGACUGAGAAGACUCAGGGAGGAUGGGCUGAAGAUACUCGGGGAGGAUGCACUGAGGAUACUUGGAGAGGAUGGACUGAGAGGACUCGGGGAAGAAUGGACUGAGGGGACUCGGAGAGGAUGGAUUGAGGAUACUCUGGGGAGGAUGCACUGAGGGCGCUCUGGGAAGGAUGAACUGAGGAGACUCAUGAAUAGUCUCCCACUACUCUAUCAGAGAUAACCACAUUUUAGCAAACACUCCGUUGGAGUCACCCCAUGCACACAUGUGUACAUGCAGCCAAGCCUUUUCCCACGCUAUUAGCUGGUGCAAGUUCCAUCCCUGGAUUUUAAGCAUGGGUCGCCUGGAAGAGCUUUGUUAGAGGAAGAAGAAAGAGGUGUAUCUCAGGAAAAUCCUGGUUCCCAAAGUUGCACAUUAUGUCAGAUGUACCUGUCUUUGACGGCUGGGAGAGCGGACAAGACCCUGCCCCAGCCCUGGCCAGGAAUGGUGGCUGGUGAGCCCCUAGUUGCAGGCAACCUGGACCUGUCCUCGCGGCACCUGAAGAGGGGAAAGGAGACUUGAGGAGAAUGACUGUCCCCAGGCGACCGCCCAUGAACACCUGAGCACCCAUCUGAUAAACAGCCUGGAGUCACUGGAGAGUGACAGCUUCCAUGUAUAUUCAUAUAUGCUCACCAUUAUUUUUCAUAACCACAUCACAUUGCAUCAUUUUAAUGUAUCAUAAUUUUCUCAACCAGCCCCAUCCAGAAGCUUCUUAACCCAAUCUCUUUCUAAGGCCCUCCAAAGGGCUGGAAGAGGGAGCAUCUUUAUUUUGCUGCUGCCAUCAGGGGUCUUGGGAGAGUCCCCUUGGAUCCUGAUUUUUCAGGGCUUGAUACCUGAGAAUAACUGACAGAAAUUUUGAGAACUGUGCCCCCAGUAAUAACAAUAAUUAACAUUGUUUUCAGUACUCUGGGCCAGGCACUGUUCUAAGCACUUUGUACAUAUUAUCUAAGUGACUCUUCACAACAACAACCUUCUGAGGGAGGAGUAAAUUGGUGAGCACCAUUCAUUCAAAUGCACGGUGAGAAGUGUAGUGGGGAGAUGCAAAAGAAGAAUGAAAUAGCCCACAGAAGAUUUCCACACAAGCUGAUAAAUAUACACCUGUGGUUCUCGUUAACCACAGGAGUCAGUGUGGCCCUGUGUGAUAUAAUAAAGAAUAAACCUUUGGUCUCUGCCCCUAGUUCCUGGCACCGUGCUCCUGAAACCCUUGUACUUUCCUAAGUGAUAGUCGUGCUAGGAGCAUCUUUUGUUCUAAUAUUUAGUCUUUGACCUUGGUUCCUGACACAGAGCUCCUAAAUCCCUUGGAAUUUCCUGGAUAAUAGGUGCAUCUUUUGUUCUAAUGAGGUGACUCUUGGUGGGCCCCUGGAUGGGGGCUGCUCACUAGAAAGACCUCAGCAUGAUCAGAGGCUCGGAACAUUCAGCCCCACCCCCAUCCCCAGGGAGGGGAGAGGAGUUGGAUAUUAAAUUAAUAAUUGAUUCUGCCUUUGUGAUGAAGCCGCCAUAAAAAUCCCUCAAGCACAGGGUGUGGAGGGAUUCUGUGCAGGUGAACACAUCCAUGAACCAGGAGGGUGGUGCCCCCCAACUCCACUGGAACAGAAGCUCCUGUGCUGGGGACCCUCCAGCCCUCGCCCUAU
RNAcentral lists this long non-coding RNA (3004 nucleotides) under Homo sapiens (human). Its description in RNAcentral is "HSALNT0302195". The record is from RNAcentral. Lineage: Eukaryota; Metazoa; Chordata; Mammalia; Primates; Hominidae.